GAUGAAGAACACAGCGAAAUGCGAUAAGUAAUGUGAAUUGCAGAAUUCAGUGAAUCAUCGAAUCUUUGAACGCACAUUGCGCCCAUUAGCAUUCUAGUGGGCAUGCCUGUUCGAGCGUCAUUUCAACCCUUAAGCCCUGUUGCUUAGCGUUGGGAGCCUACAGUACUGUAGCUCCCCAAAGUUAGUGGCGGAGUCGGUUUCACACUCUAGACGUAGUAAUUUUUUCUCGUCUGUAGUUGAGCCGGUCCCCUGCCGUAAAACACCCAAUUUAUCAAGGUUGACCUCGGAUCAGGUAGGAAUACCCGCUGAACUUAAGCAUAUCAAUAAGCGGAGGA
Molecule: unclassified non-coding RNA, 335 nt
Filed under: soil metagenome
Description: partial contains 5.8S ribosomal RNA, internal transcribed spacer 2, and large subunit ribosomal RNA
Rfam family: 5.8S ribosomal RNA (bases 1-120)
Source: RNAcentral